UACGUAGGGUGCGAGCGUUGUCCGGAAUUAUUGGGCGUUAAAGGGCUCGUAGGCGGUUUGUCGCGUUCGGGAGUGAAAACCUUGGGCUUAACUCAGGGCUUGCUUUCGAUACGGGCAGACUAGAGGUAUGCAGGGGAGAACGGAAUUCCUGGUGUAGCGGUGAAAUGCGCAGAUAUCAGGAGGAACACCGAUGGCGAAGGCAGGUCUCUGGGCAUUAACUGACGCUGAGGCGCGAAAGCUAGGGGAGCGAACGGG
This 255-nucleotide ribosomal RNA is filed under the name uncultured bacterium. Its description in RNAcentral is "partial 16S ribosomal RNA". It matches the Rfam family "Bacterial small subunit ribosomal RNA", at positions 524 to 776 of the family's 1533-position model. The record is from RNAcentral.